GUUUGUCUCUCUUCUCAUAUUCUUAUUGUUUCAGGAAAUUUAGAGUUUAUACCGAAGGACAUAAAGAAGGAAAAGGGAAAUAUUCCCUAGCUAGCUCUUUUCUUGGAGCUAGUUGAUGGCGACAAACUUCUGCCUAAGAAGAAGAGCCCAGUCGGUACACUUAAUUCCUCCAGUUAUUCAUGGAUUCCACGAAACCUCAAGGGCUUCGACCUGGAUGAUGACACUUCAAACGUUGAAGUUCAGAUUCUUUGCAUGUCUGUUUCCUAGGUUAUUUAGUGAAAAUUGCAUUAUUGCAGGUAACUAAGUAGAAUUUCAAAAUUAAGGCUACUUGUUGCCAAGUUAUGAGAGCUACUUGUGAAAAAAGUAAGCUGAUUUGUACAGGGAUGUAAUGUAUAUUGUCCAUCUUGAUGUACUUCGGAUCUGCUUUGAGUUAAAUAAAUGCGAUUUUUGCAUCAUAAAAA
Populus nigra (black poplar) is the source of this 461-nucleotide long non-coding RNA. RefSeq lists it as uncharacterized. The record is from RefSeq and is a predicted model, not a curated record. NCBI's taxonomy places the organism in Eukaryota, Viridiplantae, Streptophyta, Magnoliopsida, Malpighiales, Salicaceae. The transcript has 2 exons.